CUCACGGAAACAUAGCAGCAGCUUUGGAAUUUCAGACAGUGAGUGAUUUAUAGAGGUGAUCAACAGGAGUUGGUUCCUCAUAAGGGUAUAUUAAGAAUUGAUCCGUGUCAAGCCGUGUGUGGCGUUGAGUAUUUCGGAUUUGACAAGUCUUUGUAAAAGAUUGUUUCAGUGAUUCAAGAGAUAAUUGUUCUUAGAAUUAUUUUGUGCCGUCUGUUCUAGCUGUAUCUCGAACUUACAGUGGUUUCCGUUCGAUGCCAGAAGUUUAGCGGAGAUUUUUUUCGGUAAACAGUUACGGAGAGAUUUGUCACGGCGUCAUCUUUAGUGACAAGAUUCACAAUCACCAGAGAGUCUCUAGCGGAGAGAGAGUUGCUGGUGAAAUAAAAUAAAAAACUUCAAGCUCCAACAAGUCUGUUUUGGUAGGGGAUCAAAACUGUGAGAUUCACAGAUGUUAAAAUCAUAUGUAGCUGGAAACGGAUUCCAUGUUAUUGGUGCUCACACUGAUAGCCCUUGCCUCAAACUCAAGCCCGUUUCAAAGAUAACUAAAGCUGGAUGCUUGGAGAGGUUGGAGUGGGAAUUGAGAAGAAGACACGGUAAAGAAUCUUACAGUCUUUAGAUUGUGAUAGUUGUUUAUACUGAGAAAAAUAUCAAAUUAUUAAAUCUCAACGUCAAAGAAUACAGAUCACUCUCUUACACGUAUCACGUACGUAUUUAUGUACUUUAGAGAAACCAAAUAGUACUGAUAUAGAUACUGAGGCAGGCAACAAGUAGUACAAAUAUAUAUAUUUCACGAAAGACUUUCCUAAUUUUUAUAUUUCUGUACACACGUUUCAUGCGGUUCUGUUGAUAAACAAUACUAAUAAUCUCCUCCCC
Long non-coding RNA from Raphanus sativus (radish), 870 nucleotides. RefSeq lists it as uncharacterized. The record is from RefSeq and is a predicted model, not a curated record. NCBI's taxonomy places the organism in Eukaryota, Viridiplantae, Streptophyta, Magnoliopsida, Brassicales, Brassicaceae. The transcript has 4 exons.